This 1343-nucleotide ribosomal RNA is filed under the name uncultured bacterium. Its description in RNAcentral is "16S ribosomal RNA". It matches the Rfam family "Bacterial small subunit ribosomal RNA", at positions 28 to 1378 of the family's 1533-position model. The record is from RNAcentral.
GACGAACGCUGGCGGCGUGCUUAACACAUGCAAGUCGAACGGAAAGGCCCUGCUUUUGUGGGGUGCUCGAGUGGCGAACGGGUGAGUAACACGUGAGUAACCUGCCCUUGACUUUGGGAUAACUUCAGGAAACUGGGGCUAAUACCGGAUAGGAGCUCCUGCUGCAUGGUGGGGGUUGGAAAGUUUCGGCGGUUGGGGAUGGACUCGCGGCUUAUCAGCUUGUUGGUGGGGUAGUGGCUUACCAAGGCUUUGACGGGUAGCCGGCCUGAGAGGGUGACCGGCCACAUUGGGACUGAGAUACGGCCCAGACUCCUACGGGAGGCAGCAGUGGGGAAUAUUGCACAAUGGGCGGAAGCCUGAUGCAGCAACGCCGCGUGCGGGAUGACGGCCUUCGGGUUGUAAACCGCUUUCGCCUGUGACGAAGCGUGAGUGACGGUAAUGGGUAAAGAAGCACCGGCUAACUACGUGCCAGCAGCCGCGGUGAUACGUAGGGCGCGAGCGUUGUCCGGAUUUAUUGGGCGUAAAGGGCUCGUAGGUGGUUGAUCGCGUCGGAAGUGUAAUCUUGGGGCUUAACCCUGAGCGUGCUUUCGAUACGGGUUGACUUGAGGAAGGUAGGGGAGAAUGGAAUUCCUGGUGGAGCGGUGGAAUGCGCAGAUAUCAGGAGGAACACCAGUGGCGAAGGCGGUUCUCUGGGCCUUUCCUGACGCUGAGGAGCGAAAGCGUGGGGAGCGAACAGGCUUAGAUACCCUGGUAGUCCACGCUGUAAACGGUGGGUACUAGGUGUGGGGUCCAUUCCACGGGUUCCGUGCCGUAGCUAACGCUUUAAGUACCCCGCCUGGGGAGUACGGCCGCAAGGCUAAAACUCAAAGGAAUUGACGGGGCCCCGCACAAGCGGCGGAGCAUGCGGAUUAAUUCGAUGCAACGCGUAGAACCUUACCUGGGUUUGACAUGGAUCGGGAGUGCUCAGAGAUGGGUGUGCCUCUUUUGGGGUCGGUUCACAGGUGGUGCAUGCCUGUCGUCAGCUCGUGUCGUGAGAUGUUGGGUUAAGUCCCACAACGAGCGCAACCCUUGUUCACUGUUGCCAGCACGUUAUGGUGGGGACUCAGUGGAGACCGCCGGGGUCAACUCGGAGGAAGGUGGGGAUGACGUCAAGUCAUCAUGCCCCUUAUGUCCAGGGCUUCACGCAUGCUACAAUGGCUGGUACAGAGAGUGGCGAGCCUGUGAGGGUGAGCGAAUCUCGGAAAGCCGGUCUCAGUUCGGAUUGGGGUCUGCAACUCGACCUCAUGAAGUCGGAGUCGCUAGUAAUCGCAGAUCAGCAACGCUGCGGUGAAUACGUUCCCGGG